Long non-coding RNA from Thunnus maccoyii (southern bluefin tuna), 612 nucleotides. RefSeq lists it as uncharacterized. The record is from RefSeq and is a predicted model, not a curated record. The transcript has 3 exons. NCBI's taxonomy places the organism in Eukaryota, Metazoa, Chordata, Actinopteri, Scombriformes, Scombridae.
AUCACAUUAACGAUGGCUCCAUUCUAAUCGAGUGUCCCAGAAAGCCAUGACAGUGUGACAGUGAGCUAACAUGCACAAUAACAUCAUUGCGCCAUCAUUUAUGUUAUUAUUUACACCUGUGCUUUAUACUGUCAUCUGUCAAAAUGUCUGCAGCUGCAAUGGUACAGCAGGCCUGUCGUAACAAUCUCAUCAGUCAGUGAUGAUGAGCUCUGAUUAUCUGUCUUUAAAGCUUUAAAGGAAAAUUCUGAGCUGGACAUAUUUUUUAGAGCUUCACCUACAAAGACCACCCACAGUAAGGGCCCAUACUUGGUGAGUGUGUACGGUCUGUCUGAAAGUAAAGCAGACCAUACCUACUGGAAGCUGCAGUCCAAGACACCAGAUGGCAAAAUCACAGAUGUUAAAUUUGGUAUGGGAAGUUACACCCAAAAAGAAAAUGAGGAAAUUAUUCUUAAUUUUUCAAAGUAUUAAUGAUUUAUCCCACGUCGACUAUAUUAACAUGGGAUCAGAGCCAGCGUUGGAAUCGACUGUAUGACAAUAUAUUUCAUUGGUGAACAAUCAAAUGACAUGCAUCUGUGUUUGUUGUUGAGUGACAGUGAUAUUUCAAUAAAAUAC